UUAAGCGACUAAGCGUACACGGUGGAUGCCCUGGCAGUCAGAGGCGAUGAAGGACGUGCUAAUCUGCGAAAAGCGUCGGUAAGGUGAUAUGAACCGUUAUAACCGGCGAUGUCCGAAUGGGGAAACCCAGUGCAAUUCGUUGCACUAUCGUUAACUGAAUACAUAGGUUAACGAGGCGAACCGGGGGAACUGAAACAUCUAAGUACCCCGAGGAAAAGAAAUCAACCGAGAUUCCCCCAGUAGCGGCGAGCGAACGGGGAGCAGCCCAGAGUCUGAAUCAGCUUGUGUGUUAGUGGAACGGUCUGGAAAGUCCGACGGUACAGGGUGAUAGUCCCGUACACCAAAAUGCACAGGUUGUGAACUCGAAGAGUAGGGCGGGACACGUGGUAUCCUGUCUGAAUAUGGGGGGACCAUCCUCCAAGGCUAAAUACUCCUGACUGACCGAUAGUGAACCAGUACCGUGAGGGAAAGGCGAAAAGAACCCCGGCGAGGGGAGUGAAAAAGAACCUGAAACCGUGUACGUACAAGCAGUGGGAGCACCUUCGGGUGUGACUGCGUACCUUUUGUAUAAUGGGUCAGCGACUUAUAUUCUGUAGCAAGGUUAACCGUAUAGGGGAGCCGCAGGGAAACCGAGUCUUAACUGGGCGUUAAGUUGCAGGGUAUAGACCCGAAACCCGGUGAUCUAGCCAUGGGCAGGUUGAAGGUUGGGUAACACUAACUGGAGGACCGAACCGACUAAUGUUGAAAAAUUAGCGGAUGACUUGUGGCUGGGGGUGAAAGGCCAAUCAAACCGGGAGAUAGCUGGUUCUCCCCGAAAGCUAUUUAGGUAGCGCCUCGUGAAUUCAUCUUCGGGGGUAGAGCACUGUUUCGGCUAGGGGGUCAUCCCGACUUACCAACCCGAUGCAAACUACGAAUACCGAAGAAUGUUAUCACGGGAGACACACGGCGGGUGCUAACGUCCGUCGUGAAGAGGGAAACAACCCAGACCGCCAGCUAAGGUCCCAAAGUCAUGGUUAAGUGGGAAACGAUGUGGGAAGGCACAGACAGCCAGGAUGUUGGCUUAGAAGCAGCCAUCAUUUAAAGAAAGCGUAAUAGCUCACUGGUCGAGUCGGCCUGCGCGGAAGAUGUAACGGGGCUAAACCAUGCACCGAAGCUGCGGCAGCGACACUAUGUGUUGUUGGGUAGGGGAGCGUUCUGUAAGCCUGCGAAGGUGACCUGUGAGGGUUGCUGGAGGUAUCAGAAGUGCGAAUGCUGACAUAAGUAACGAUAAAGCGGGUGAAAAGCCCGCUCGCCGGAAGACCAAGGGUUCCUGUCCAACGUUAAUCGGGGCAGGGUGAGUCGACCCCUAAGGCGAGGCCGAAAGGCGUAGUCGAUGGGAAACAGGUUAAUAUUCCUGUACUUGGUGUUACUGCGAAGGGGGGACGGAGAAGGCUAUGUUAGCCGGGCGACGGUUGUCCCGGUUUAAGCAUGUAGGCUGGUUAUCCAGGCAAAUCCGGAUAAUCAAGGCUGAGGUGUGAUGACGAGGCACUACGGUGCUGAAGUAACAAAUGCCCUGCUUCCAGGAAAAGCCUCUAAGCAUCAGGUAACAUCAAAUCGUACCCCAAACCGACACAGGUGGUCAGGUAGAGAAUACCAAGGCGCUUGAGAGAACUCGGGUGAAGGAACUAGGCAAAAUGGUGCCGUAACUUCGGGAGAAGGCACGCUGGUGUGUAGGUGAAGUCCCUGCGGAUGGAGCUGAGACCAGUCGAAGAUACCAGCUGGCUGCAACUGUUUAUUAAAAACACAGCACUGUGCAAACACGAAAGUGGACGUAUACGGUGUGACGCCUGCCCGGUGCCGGAAGGUUAAUUGAUGGGGUUAUCCGUAAGGAGAAGCUCUUGAUCGAAGCCCCGGUAAACGGCGGCCGUAACUAUAACGGUCCUAAGGUAGCGAAAUUCCUUGUCGGGUAAGUUCCGACCUGCACGAAUGGCGUAAUGAUGGCCAGGCUGUCUCCACCCGAGACUCAGUGAAAUUGAACUCGCUGUGAAGAUGCAGUGUACCCGCGGCAAGACGGAAAGACCCCGUGAACCUUUACUAUAGCUUGACACUGAACAUUGAGCCUUGAUGUGUAGGAUAGGUGGGAGGCUUUGAAGCGUGGACGCCAGUCUGCGUGGAGCCAACCUUGAAAUACCACCCUUUAAUGUUUGAUGUUCUAACGUUGGCCCCUUACCGGGGUUGCGGACAGUGUCUGGUGGGUAGUUUGACUGGGGCGGUCUCCUCCCAAAGCGUAACGGAGGAGCACGAAGGUUAGCUAAUCCUGGUCGGACAUCAGGAGGUUAGUGCAAUGGCAUAAGCUAGCUUGACUGCGAGCGUGACGGCGCGAGCAGGUGCGAAAGCAGGUCAUAGUGAUCCGGUGGUUCUGAAUGGAAGGGCCAUCGCUCAACGGAUAAAAGGUACUCCGGGGAUAACAGGCUGAUACCGCCCAAGAGUUCAUAUCGACGGCGGUGUUUGGCACCUCGAUGUCGGCUCAUCACAUCCUGGGGCUGAAGUAGGUCCCAAGGGUAUGGCUGUUCGCCAUUUAAAGUGGUACGCGAGCUGGGUUUAGAACGUCGUGAGACAGUUCGGUCCCUAUCUGCCGUGGGCGCUGGAGAAUUGAGGGGGGCUGCUCCUAGUACGAGAGGACCGGAGUGGACGCAUCACUGGUGUUCGGGUUGUCAUGCCAAUGGCACUGCCCGGUAGCUAAAUGCGGAAGAGAUAAGUGCUGAAAGCAUCUAAGCACGAAACUUGCCCCGAGAUGAGUUCUCCCUGAGACUUUAAGUCUCCUGAAGGAACGUUGAAGACGACGACGUUGAUAGGCCGGGUGUGUAAGCGCAGCGAUGCGUUGAGCUAACCGGUACUAAUGAACCGUGAGGCUUAACCUU
Molecule: ribosomal RNA, 2900 nt
Filed under: Klebsiella pneumoniae
Lineage: Bacteria; Pseudomonadati; Pseudomonadota; Gammaproteobacteria; Enterobacterales; Enterobacteriaceae
Description: bacterial LSU rRNA
Rfam family: Bacterial large subunit ribosomal RNA
Source: RNAcentral